RNAcentral lists this transfer RNA (85 nucleotides) under Aminobacterium sp. RNAcentral describes it as "tRNA-Leu". It matches the Rfam family "tRNA". From Rfam's summary of the family: Transfer RNA (tRNA) molecules are approximately 80 nucleotides in length. Their secondary structure includes four short double-helical elements and three loops (D, anti-codon, and T loops). The record is from RNAcentral. Lineage: Bacteria; Thermotogati; Synergistota; Synergistia; Synergistales; Aminobacteriaceae.
GCGAGAGUGGCGGAACUGGUAUACGCGCUGGACUUAGGAUCCAGUGGAUUUCUCCGUAGGGGUUCGAGUCCCCUCUCUCGCACCA